UCAGUAACACGUAGUCAACAUGCCCAGGGGGACGUGGAUAACCUCGGGAAACUGAGGAUAAACCGCGACAGGUCACUACUUCUGGAAUGGGUAAUGACCCAAACCUAUAUGGCCCCUGGAUUGGGCUGCGGCCGAUCAGGCUGUUGGUGAGGUAAUGGCCCACCAAACCUGUAACCGGUACGGGCUCUGAGAGGAGGAGCCCGGAGAUGGGCACUGAGACAAGGGCCCAGGCCCUAUGGGGCGCAGCAGGCGCGAAACCUCUGCAAUAGGCGAAAGCUUGACAGGGUUACUCUGAGUGAUCUCCGUUAAGGAGAUCUUUUGGCACCUCUAAAAAUGGUGCAGAAUAAGGGGUGGGCAAGUCUGGUGCCAGC
Molecule: ribosomal RNA, 371 nt
Filed under: unidentified archaeon
Lineage: Archaea
Description: bacterial SSU rRNA
Rfam family: Archaeal small subunit ribosomal RNA
Source: RNAcentral